UGGACGACUAGCAGGCCUUUAGUGAUGAAACCCUAAAGAACAAGAAAAGUCGCCAAAUUCUUCUGCCAUUUGUGAAGUCGUCAAAAGAAGGAAGACAGCAGCAGAGCUCACAGACAGCUGUGUCCUUAUUGAUUUGUUCCUGUGAGGCAGACGUUCAGUACUCAGAAGGAAAACAUCUGAACAAGGAUUUACACAGAGGAGGCGGGAGAAAGGGGAGGACAUGGAGGAGAGACAGAUGAACAGAUACACAGAUGCCAGAC
Long non-coding RNA from Pygocentrus nattereri (red-bellied piranha), 260 nucleotides. RefSeq lists it as uncharacterized. Lineage: Eukaryota; Metazoa; Chordata; Actinopteri; Characiformes; Serrasalmidae. The record is from RefSeq and is a predicted model, not a curated record. The transcript has 3 exons.